Molecule: long non-coding RNA, 164 nt
Organism: Octopus sinensis (East Asian common octopus)
Lineage: Eukaryota; Metazoa; Mollusca; Cephalopoda; Octopoda; Octopodidae
Exons: 3
Source: RefSeq, a predicted model, not a curated record
UGAGAGAUUUUGGGCUCCAAAGUUUGAGGACAGGUGUGUACAAACAGAGGCUACAUGUCAGGAAUUAGGGGCUGCAUCUCAGGCAAUUGGGGCUCCAAAGUGUGAGGACAGGUGUGUACAAACAGAGGCUACAUGUCAGGAAUUAGGGGCUGCAUCUCAGGCAA